AAUCUUGGAUCCGCCACUGCUCUUUAACCAAUCACCGCGUUACAACUCCCUUGAUACUAUGCUUAUGUUGCAUAUAAAGCUGAAGAUUUCCACCUUCAAACAUCAGUCUUCUUAGAAGUCUAACAAGAGCAACUUCGCACCGACAAUUUGCUUCAGUUUUUMCAGUGAGUUCAASCUCGUAGUUCAGUAGCACGAUGAGAUUCCUUCUGAUAUUGCUGGUCGUUCUUGCCAUGGUUUCGUUCCCAGAGGUUUCUGGCUUUUGCACUUACCCCGGUUGCUUUGAGAAAAGAGCAGUGAACAAGGCAGCAGUAGAAGCCAAGAGAGAGGCGACGAUGGAGAGACUCCAAGAAUUGAAGAAUAAUAUGAAGUAAUGAACACCAUGAAUAUGAUUCUAUAAGUGUCAGUAUGAUGAUAAAAGUUUAAACGUAAACUAGCUUCUUAAUUGAGUUAAAUACUUAAAAUAACAUGUAAAACGCGUGGUCAUUUGACCACUGAGGUAUCCUGGAGUAACGCUGUCACAAUCAAUAAAAGUUAAUGGUAACUCUA
Molecule: long non-coding RNA, 546 nt
Organism: Actinia tenebrosa (Australian red waratah sea anemone)
Lineage: Eukaryota; Metazoa; Cnidaria; Anthozoa; Actiniaria; Actiniidae
Source: RefSeq, a predicted model, not a curated record